RNAcentral lists this ribosomal RNA (254 nucleotides) under uncultured bacterium. RNAcentral's name for it is "partial 16S ribosomal RNA". It matches the Rfam family "Bacterial small subunit ribosomal RNA", at positions 524 to 776 of the family's 1533-position model. The record is from RNAcentral.
UACGGAGGGGGCAAGCGUUGUUCGGAAUUACUGGGCGUAAAGGGCGCGCAGGCGGCUGCUCAAGUCAGGCGUGAAAGGCCUGGGCUCAACCCGGGAAUUGCGCUUGAGACUGGGCUGGCUUGAGUGCGGGAGAGGAUGGUGGAAUUCCCAGUGUAGAGGUGAAAUUCGUAGAUAUCGGGAAGAACACCCGUGGCGAAGGCGGCUCUCUGGGACGGUACUGACGCUGAGACGCGAAAGCGUGGGGAGCGAACAGG